GGAAUCUUCCACAAUGGGCGAAAGCCUGAUGGAGCAACGCCGCGUGUGUGAUGAGGGCUUUCGGGUCGUAAAGCACUGUUGUAUGGGAAGAACAGCUAGAAUAGGAAAUGAUUUUAGUUUGACGGUACCAUACCAGAAAGGGACGGCUAAAUACGUGCCAG
This 161-nucleotide ribosomal RNA is filed under the name uncultured bacterium. RNAcentral's name for it is "partial 16S rRNA". It matches the Rfam family "Bacterial small subunit ribosomal RNA", at positions 358 to 511 of the family's 1533-position model. The record is from RNAcentral.